GGACGAAGCCAUAUGGGAAGUUCCUGAAAACAUGAUCCCUUAGCAAGUUAUAAUUUUCGCAUAAAGGUAAGGCAGCAGUACAGAGAGAAAGGAACACAUGCUGAAAUCCUAUCAUUUUAUCCAAUAACAAAAUGACAGCAUAUAAACUAUGAAAAAAUUUAGCUACAACUAUGAAAUGAAUAAAUAAUGCCUAAAUGAGUAAAAUAUACUUCUAAGACUAAAAUAAUGAAUUAAAUCCAGUAACAUAGCAGAAAGAUGAAAGCACCACUUAGCAGUCACAACGGCAGAGUUAAGAACAUAUAAACAUUGAGGUUGAAAAUAGUCAGUCUACAUGAACUUGUAGGGUUAAAUUGAUAAGUACUUUAAAGCCCCUCAGUAAAUGUUCCACUAUAGCCAAGACAAAAUCCUAAGAUUAGGUGCUCACUGCUCAAACAUAAGCAUCCCUCCAAGGUACAUGCAAAGCUAC
Molecule: unclassified non-coding RNA, 466 nt
Filed under: Hevea brasiliensis (rubber tree)
Lineage: Eukaryota; Viridiplantae; Streptophyta; Magnoliopsida; Malpighiales; Euphorbiaceae
Source: RNAcentral